UACGGGGGGGGCAAGCGUUGUUCGGAAUUACUGGGCGUAAAGGGCUCGUAGGCGGCCAACUAAGUCAAACGUGAAAUCCCUCGGCUUAACCGGGGAACUGCGCUUGAUACUGGAUGGCUUGAGAUUGGGAGAGGGAUGCGGAAUUCCAGGUGUAGCGGUGAAAUGCGUAGAUAUCUGGAGGAACACCGGUGGCGAAGGCGGCAUCCUAGACCAACACUGACGCUGAGGAGCGAAAGCCAGGGGAGCAAACGGG
RNAcentral lists this ribosomal RNA (253 nucleotides) under uncultured bacterium. Its description in RNAcentral is "partial 16S ribosomal RNA". It matches the Rfam family "Bacterial small subunit ribosomal RNA", at positions 524 to 776 of the family's 1533-position model. The record is from RNAcentral.